CAUGAACAGUGGCGUCUAUGCUUAUAGGUUACGCGACAUUCUAGAUAAUAUUCAUGAACAGUGGCGGCUAUGCUUAUAGGUUACGCGACAUUCUAGAUAAUAUUCAUGAACAGUGGCGUCUAUGCUUAUAGGUUACGCGACAUUCUGGAUAAUAUUCAUGAACAGUUGCGUCUAUGCUUAUAUGUUACGCGACAUUCUAGAUAAUAUUCAUGAACAGUGGCGUCUAUGCUUUUAGGUUACGCGACAUUCUAGAUAAUAUUCAUGAACAGUGGCGUCUAUGCUUAUAGGUUAUGCGACAUUCUAGAUAAUAUUCAUGAACAGUGGCGUCUAUGCUUACAGGUUACGCGAAAUUCUAGAUAAUAUUCAUGAACAGUGGCGUCUAUGCUUACAGGUUACGCGAGAUUCUAGAUAAUAUUCAUGAACAGUGGCGGCUAUGCUUAUAUGUUACGCGACAUUCUAGAUAAUAUUCAUGAACAGUGGCGGCUAUGCUUAUAGGUUACGCGACAUUCUACAUACUAUUCAUGAACAGUGGCGUUUAUGCUUAUAGGUUACGCGACAUUCUAGAUAAUAUUCAUGAACAGUGGCGUCUAUGCUUAUAGGUUACGCGACAUUCUGGAUAAUAUUCAUGAACAGUGGCGUCUAUGUUUAUAGGUUACGCGACAUUCUGGAUAAUAUUCAUGAACAGUUGCGUCUAUGGUUAUGGGUUACGCGACAUUCUAGAUAAUAUUCAUGAACAGUGGCGUCUAUGCUUAUAGGUUACGCGACAUUCUAGAUAAUAUUCAUGAACAGUGGCGUCUAUGCUUAUAGGUUAUGCGACAUUCUAGAUAAUAUUCAUGAACAGUGGCGUCUAUGUUUAUAGGUUACGCGACAUUCUAGAUAAUAUUCAUGAACAGUGGCGUCUAUGUUUAUAGGUUAAAAUGACAUUAGCCAUCUAAAUGUAUAUUUCGGUAAGUUAAACAUGCUCUCAGACGUUUGCGCGGAUGCCGACAUCCCAAAGUUACCACGUGUAAUAUAAGCAAUGCAUAACACUUCUCAUAUGGUAUUUAUCAUGCUAUUUGUGAAAAUAUUACAAAACAUGGCUUUUUGUUUUUGGCACAAUAUAACGAUUUAUAAAAAGGAUUUCGAUACUUUUUGCAGAGCGGGUUCUUAAAUACUCCCUGUUUUUACACAUAUGCACGGUUUUACACAUGAUAUCAUUCAUAUUACACAUUGCUUGAUGUUAUUUAUCAAUCUUUAAAAUGGAAAGUACUUCAAAUAAUGUAAUUUUCUGUUAUAAAUUAACGUACUAUAACGGAGUUUUUGGUUAUCCUACAUCAUGAAGCUGCCACUCGCGCUUGUCAAGAUCAUGUUUUGGCUUUGUAAGUGGUAUGAAUUCAACGCCUCUCAAUAAUCAGGAUACCAUUGCGUGAGUUACAUAAACGCCACUGACACUGUUAAACUCUAAUUUCAUUUAUGCUUUUUUUCGAAGAAAAAACCCCCAAACUCUUAGACAUUCGUCUUUUCUUGGAAAAUGGCGAACAGGUCGUUAGCAACCGGCCAAUUCGAUCAAUCGACCGGUGAUUGGUUGUUCGUAAUUAUAGUACAAUCCCUGGGGAAUUAAAUUCCUCUGAUGUUUCAAUCAUUAUUAUUUGGCUUUCAGGUUUACUGUUCAUUGAGGUCAAUAAAGGUCAUGGUCAAUGUUAUUUAAAGGUCAUAAUGUAAAUAAAUGCUACAAAAUUAUGGUUUCUACCCAUAAAAAUGUUAAUUGUAUUACCUGUUUAAUCGAUAUAUGCUCAAAUAGUGUUUUUUAAUAUAGUGCCUUCAGUGUUAAAGAGAAAAAAAUUCAUCUCAAGGCCAUAACUUAAAUGCUCAUUAAAUACAAAGGCAUUAUGUGACACCACCAACUACGUAAUUUUGCUUAGAAACUUGAAUGUAGGAAUAGUUGUUUGUUUAACUUAAUGAUGUAAUUAUGCUUAUUUAACUAAUUACCUUUAUUUAGUUCAAGGACUGAAUAAAAAACUGAUGUUCAUUAUGAUAUAGGGCCUUGCCAGUUGAUUUUUCAAAUGUAUAACCGAUAACUAUUUGAAGUGUUAUAGUCUUCGGAUAAAACUAUUCGGAUAAUUGUAUCAUUUGUUCUUGCUCAUUAUAGCUCAUCAUGAUAAGUUAAAAAUAAAGAAAAAACAAUUUGUAGGUCACCGCAUUCAAUGUUUUGAAAGUGUUAUAUAUUUCGGAUACACCGAUUCGGAUAUAAUUAUAUUUGUGCUUUAUUUUCUUUUUAAAGUUUCUUUGUUUAAUGUUCUUGUUUAAAAGGCUAAUGCCGUAUAAGUAUAUUUUACUGUAAAUUUUUGAAUAUACAGUUUUAUUAAUAAAUUUUGAAACAGAA
Long non-coding RNA from Dreissena polymorpha, 2362 nucleotides. RefSeq lists it as uncharacterized. The transcript has 3 exons. NCBI's taxonomy places the organism in Eukaryota, Metazoa, Mollusca, Bivalvia, Myida, Dreissenidae. The record is from RefSeq and is a predicted model, not a curated record.